RNAcentral lists this long non-coding RNA (419 nucleotides) under Amborella trichopoda. RNAcentral describes it as "long non-coding RNA (ATRI_LNC000138)". The record is from RNAcentral. Lineage: Eukaryota; Viridiplantae; Streptophyta; Magnoliopsida; Amborellales; Amborellaceae.
UUUUUACUUGAGAUGCUGAACUGCUGUCAGACUUUUGUGGGCUAUAUCAAUUUUUAUGUAGAAAAAAGGUGUUACCCUAAUUUUUAACAUGUUAACUGAAAUUCAUUUAUUCCCCAUAAUAUGUUUUUGAAGUAGUUUCAGGUAAUUGGAUGACAUCAGUUCUGCAACAAAGAGAACGAGCCUUGUUGGUUUUAUAAUAAAUCAAGAGAACAUGAAGGGAGGAGUGAGAAAGAGACUCUUUUGUAGAGAGAGAAGGUGCAACAACCAGGGUGUAGGAGACAAUAGAUGUGAAGUUGGAUGCGGAUCUGAGAAGAUAGUCUAGGCAAAGAGAAUUUGCAGCUAUGUUGCGGAUAGUGAGUGAGGGAUAGGGAUUUGAAAAAGCUUAUCGAAUUUGAGGGAUGGAUUUUCAGACAUGGCAG